Molecule: long non-coding RNA, 2315 nt
Organism: Glycine soja
Lineage: Eukaryota; Viridiplantae; Streptophyta; Magnoliopsida; Fabales; Fabaceae
Exons: 12
Source: RefSeq, a predicted model, not a curated record
CGUCUUUGAAUGAUCUUUUAAAAAAUUUCGCGGACUGGCUACUAAUUUCGUAGCUACUUUCGUCUCGAACGCGCACGCGUAACCUAGGUUGUUCUGUGAUUCUUCCCUUCAUCGUUGUCCAAGUCAAGCUUUGACUGGGCCCUGCAUCUCUUCAAUCUCUACGAAGCAACGCCUGAGAAGUUGAUAUGUGAAGUCUCCGUCAAAGGUACUACCUUGACACAAAAACUUUUGAAGUAAAUUCUUGUCCCACCUACUUAGGACUUCAAUCCAGACUGUUGUGUUUGGUUUUCCACUACUCUAAUCCCACUCGUAGCUGUUGUUAUUGACCGUAUUUUUGAGGAACAGGUCAAAUCUUAAAUUAUUUCAAGAUUAUGAUGAAGACCAAGCCAACUUGUGUCUCAUGACAAAAUCUCAUGAAAACAACCAAGAAAAAUCUGUAAGGAAGAAGUGGUACAUCGACAGUGGAUGUUCCAAGCAUAUGACGGGAGAUGUAUCCAAGUUUACAACCUUUUUCCCCAAUAAAAGUGGACAUGUUACAUACGGCGACAACAAUAUUAGUAAAAUCUCAAAAGAGAUGUUCAGUCAGAAGCUAUGUCUAGGAAUACUAGACAAUCCACACUGCCAAGGAGGUUGACUUUACGAAUCUUGGAUCAGCCAAGACCAACUAUAAACAUCGAUGUCGCAACUGGCUGAGGAUUGGGCCCAUACAGAGAAAUUCCACAACUAUCUAGGGGUCGUAGUUAGAGAAAAAAUUCCAAUUCUACAUAAUAGUUGGAAAGAUGUACCGGACUCGCUAAAGGACCUAGUAUGGGAUAACAUUUUGGCAAAAUUUGAUAUCCCUGAAGCGGCGAAUGCAAAGAUAAAGGUGAUGUCCACCGUGGCCACUAGAUGGAGGCAAUUUAAAUCAACCAUGACCACUAAAUUUGUCUAUGCUGACUCUGAGAGGCAAGAUAAACAUGAUCAUUCGGUAAAAUAUGGCCUAGAUGCAGAAACUUGGGAGGAAUUUGCCGCAAGCUGCAAAACCCUUAACUGGCAGGUUAGAUGUUCAUGUGUUUGAUUUUUAGUGUGUAUUUCUCAUUAUAAAGGCAAUUUGAUUUGUUUGAUUCGAAUAAUAUAUGCUACAUGAUAAGGAAUCAAGAAAAAGAUGUAGGAAAUCCAAAAAUACAAUGACUGCCCCCAUUUACUUUCUCGUGGGGGAUAUUAUUUGCUUGAAAAGAAGCUAUUGGACGAGAAAAUGAAGAAAAGAUAACAUGACGCAAUGAUGACUAAGAAUACACCACACAUUGAGGAUCCUUUAUCUCCCAUUGAAAGACAUGUUAAGUGGAAGUUGGCACGCACAAAGCGAUAUGAGCAGAUGACAUUUCAGGCGGCACAAGAAAUAUCUGAUAAAAUUGGCAUUACUUGAGCGCAUCAACUGUAAUGUGGGCCAGCACACAGAAUCAUACCCUAAAGCAGAAAGUGUCAUUUCUUGUUGCUGGUUUGUCUGCCUGUCAGGACAAAAUUGGAAUCGGAUAUCUAUCUGCAUUUCCAUAUGAUUUUUUUGAUUGAUUUCAAGUUGUUCAACUGGGUUGGGCUACCUAUUAUACCAUUCACAAGCUUUGUUGGCAAAUCUUGCAUGACCUCUUGGAUCAACAUACUUUUGCUGGAAACCCUCAAGCUCAAAAUAGACACUAUGAAUCACUGAAUGAAGAAACUGGAGGAAUGAAUGAUGUCCUUUAUAGAUUAUACAAACAUAAUGGGAGAUUCUAAUCACCUAGUGUUGGCUCACCUUUUUGACAAGCCAUGCUUUUUAGGGUUGCUUGCAGUGCAGAUGUGAGAAAUCACCCAAUUUUAAUCCACUACAAUCAAGGAAAGGGAGAUUCUAAUCACCUAGUGUUGGCUCACCUUUUUGGCAAGCCAUGCUUUUUAAGGUUGCUUGCAGUGCAGAUAAGGAGCUACGACGACGGUGCUUACGUACGCACCGUCUUAGAAAGACAGUUUUUUAGGACGGUGCCUAUGUAAGCACCGUCUUAAAAAGCUCGCUUACUAAGACAGUCGAAAGCUCGCAACAUUGCCUACGUAAGGCAUCGUCUUAAAAAGUUGCUUUCUAAGACGGUGCCUACGUAAACACCAUCUUCGAAAGGUGGUUGUUUUCUAAGACGGUGUGUUCUUACCCGUCGUUGAAAGUUACUUUCAACAACGUUAGCUUUUACGACGGUUGACAACUGUCUUUGUAUACUAUUUUUGACCAUUGUAGAAAACCUUUUUUUUAGUAGUGGUAGUUAAAAGAAUAAUUAUAUUUUGAUAAUAAAAGAUUUUAAACAUUCGGUCAAUAA